This 2953-nucleotide ribosomal RNA is filed under the name Streptococcus pneumoniae. Its description in RNAcentral is "23S ribosomal RNA". It matches the Rfam family "Bacterial large subunit ribosomal RNA". Lineage: Bacteria; Bacillati; Bacillota; Bacilli; Lactobacillales; Streptococcaceae. The record is from RNAcentral.
UUAAGUUAAUAAGGGCGCACGGUGGAUGCCUUGGCACUAGGAGCCGACGAAGGACGUGACAAACGACGAUAUGCCUUGGGUAGCUGUAAGUAAGCGAUGAUCCAGGGAUUUCCGAAUGGGGGAACCCAACAGGUAAUACCUGUUACCUACAUCUGUUAAGGAUGUGAGGAGGAAGACGCAGUGAACUGAAACAUCUAAGUAGCUGCAGGAAGAGAAAGCAAAAGCGAUUGCCUUAGUAGCGGCGAGCGAAACGGCAGAAGGGCAAACCGAAGAGUUUACUCUUCGGGGUUGUAGGACUGCAAUGUGGACUCAAAGAUUAUAGAAGAAUGAUUUGGGAAGAUCAGCCAAAGAGAGUAAUAGCCUCGUAUUUAAAAUAGUCUUUGUACUUAGCAGUAUCCUGAGUACGGCGGGACACGUGAAAUCCCGUCGGAAUCUGGGAGGACCAUCUCCCAACCCUAAAUACUCCCUAGUGACCGAUAGUGAACCAGUACCGUGAGGGAAAGGUGAAAAGCACCCCGGGAGGGGAGUGAAAUAGAACCUGAAACCGUGUGCCUACAACAAGUUCGAGCCCGUUAAUGGGUGAGAGCGUGCCUUUUGUAGAAUGAACCGGCGAGUUACGUUAUGAUGCGAGGUUAAGUUGAAGAGACGGAGCCGUAGGGAAACCGAGUCUGAAUAGGGCGCCUUAGUAUCAUGACGUAGACCCGAAACCAUGUGACCUACCCAUGAGCAGGUUGAAGGUGCGGUAAGACGCACUGGAGGACCGAACCAGGGCACGUUGAAAAGUGCUUGGAUGACUUGUGGGUAGCGGAGAAAUUCCAAACGAACUUGGAGAUAGCUGGUUCUCUCCGAAAUAGCUUUAGGGCUAGCGUCGACAUUAGAGAUUCUUGGAGGUAGAGCACUGUUUGGGUGAGGGGUCCAUCCCGGAUUACCAAUCUCAGAUAAACUCCGAAUGCCAAUGAAUUAUGGUCGGCAGUCAGACUGCGAGUGCUAAGAUCCGUAGUCGAAAGGGAAACAGCCCAGACCACCAGCUAAGGUCCCAAAAUAAUUGUUAAGUGGAAAAGGAUGUGGGGUUGCACAGACAACUAGGAUGUUAGCUUAGAAGCAGCUAUUCAUUCAAAGAGUGCGUAAUAGCUCACUAGUCGAGUGACCCUGCGCCGAAAAUGUACCGGGGCUAAAACAAUUUACCGAAGCUGUGGAUACCUUUAUAGGUAUGGUAGGAGAGCGUUCUAUGUGUGAUGAAGGUAUACCGUGAGGAGUGCUGGAACGCAUAGAAGUGAGAAUGCCGGUAUGAGUAGCGAAAGACAGGUGAGAAUCCUGUCCACCGUAAGACUAAGGUUUCCAGGGGAAGGCUCGUCCGCCCUGGGUUAGUCGGGACCUAAGGAGAGACCGAAAGGUGUAUCCGAUGGACAACAGGUUGAUAUUCCUGUACUAGAGUAUGUAGUGAUGGAGGGACGCAGUAGGCUAACUAAAGCAGACGAUUGGAAGAGUCUGUCUAAGCAGUGAGGUGUGAAUUGAGUCAAAUGCUUAAUUCUAUAACAUUGAGCUGUGAUGGGGAGCGAAGUUUAGUAGCGAAGUUAGUGACGUCACACUGCCAAGAAAAGCUUCUAGCGUUUAAACAUACUCUACCCGUACCGCAAACCGACACAGGUAGUCGAGGCGAGUAGCCUCAGGUGAGCGAGAGAACUCUCGUUAAGGAACUCGGCAAAAUGACCCCGUAACUUCGGGAGAAGGGGUGCUGACUUAAAGUCAGCCGCAGUGAAUAGGCCCAAGCAACUGUUUAUCAAAAACACAGCUCUCUGCUAAAUCGUAAGAUGAUGUAUAGGGGGUGACGCCUGCCCGGUGCUGGAAGGUUAAGAGGAGUGCUUAGCGUAAGCGAAGGUAUGAAUUGAAGCCCCAGUAAACGGCGGCCGUAACUAUAACGGUCCUAAGGUAGCGAAAUUCCUUGUCGGGUAAGUUCCGACCCGCACGAAAGGCGUAAUGAUUUGGGCACUGUCUCAACGAGAGACUCGGUGAAAUUUUAGUACCUGUGAAGAUGCAGGUUACCCGCGACAGGACGGAAAGACCCCAUGGAGCUUUACUGCAGUUUGAUAUUGAGUGUCUGUACCACAUGUACAGGAUAGGUAGGAGUCUAAGAGAUCGGGACGCCAGUUUCGAAGGAGACGCUGUUGGGAUACUACCCUUGUGUUAUGGCCACUCUAACCCAGAUAGGUGAUCCCUAUCGGAGACAGUGUCUGACGGGCAGUUUGACUGGGGCGGUCGCCUCCUAAAAGGUAACGGAGGCGCCCAAAGGUUCCCUCAGAAUGGUUGGAAAUCAUUCGCAGAGUGUAAAGGUAUAAGGGAGCUUGACUGCGAGAGCUACAACUCGAGCAGGGACGAAAGUCGGGCUUAGUGAUCCGGUGGUUCCGUAUGGAAGGGCCAUCGCUCAACGGAUAAAAGCUACCCUGGGGAUAACAGGCUUAUCUCCCCNNNNNNNNNNNNNNNNNNNNNNNNNNNNNNNNNNNNNNNNNNNNNNNNNNNNNNAAGAGUUCACAUCGACGGGGAGGUUUGGCACCUCGAUGUCGGCUCGUCGCAUCCUGGGGCUGUAGUCGGUCCCAAGGGUUGGGCUGUUCGCCCAUUAAAGCGGCACGCGAGCUGGGUUCAGAACGUCGUGAGACAGUUCGGUCCCUAUCCGUCGCGGGCGUAGGAAAUUUGAGAGGAUCUGCUCCUAGUACGAGAGGACCAGAGUGGACUUACCGCUGGUGUACCAGUUGUCUUGCCAAAGGCAUCGCUGGGUAGCUAUGUAGGGAAGGGAUAAACGCUGAAAGCAUCUAAGUGUGAAACCCACCUCAAGAUGAGAUUUCCCAUGAUUAUAUAUCAGUAAGAGCCCUGAGAGAUGAUCAGGUAGAUAGGUUAGAAGUGGAAGUGUGGCGACACAUGUAGCGGACUAAUACUAAUAGCUCGAGGACUUAUCCAA